GAUGAAGAACGCAGCGAACUGCGAUAAGUAAUGUGAAUUGCAGAAUUCAGUGAAUCAUCGAGUCUUUGAACGCACAUUGCGCCCCCUGGCAUUCCGGGGGGCAUGCCUGUCCGAGCGUCAUUGCUGCCCUUCAAGCCCGGCUUGUGUGUUGGGUCGUCGUCCCCCCCGGGGGACGGGCCCGAAAGGCAGCGGCGGCACCGCGUCCGGUCCUCGAGCGUAUGGGGCUUUGUCACCCGCUCGAUUAGGGCCGGCCGGGCGCCAGCCGGCGUCUCCAACCUUCUAUUUUACCAGGUUGACCUCGGAUCAGGUAGGGAUACCCGCUGAACUUAAGCAUAUCAAUAAGCGGAGGU
This 350-nucleotide unclassified non-coding RNA is filed under the name soil metagenome. RNAcentral's name for it is "partial contains 5.8S ribosomal RNA, internal transcribed spacer 2, and large subunit ribosomal RNA". The stretch from base 1 to 120 matches the Rfam family "5.8S ribosomal RNA", at positions 35 to 154 of the family's 154-position model. The record is from RNAcentral.